UAACGACUCUCGGCAACGGAUAUCUCGGCUCUCGCAUCGAUGAAGAACGUAGCGAAAUGUGAUACUUGGUGUGAAUUGCAGAAUCCCGUGAACCAUCGAGUCUUUGAACGCAAGUUGCGCCUGAAGCCAUCAGGCUAAGGGCACGUCUGCUUGGGCGUC
RNAcentral lists this ribosomal RNA (159 nucleotides) under Trophis racemosa. RNAcentral describes it as "5.8S ribosomal RNA". It matches the Rfam family "5.8S ribosomal RNA". Rfam says of the family: 5.8S ribosomal RNA (5.8S rRNA) is a component of the large subunit of the eukaryotic ribosome. Lineage: Eukaryota; Viridiplantae; Streptophyta; Magnoliopsida; Rosales; Moraceae. The record is from RNAcentral.